UGCUGGCGGUUCAAGCAUGGUAAUAUAAAUAGGGGCACAUUUUCUUUCCAGAAGUGUAUUUUAGCCAUUUAGUGACAGGACUGUAGUUCCCAGCCUUAAGAAAGCUGUCAUGCCAAAUGGCAGGGAAAAGUGAAAUAAGGCACUCGCCUACCGUUUUUCCAAAGUACGAAGGGGAAGUUGCACCAUAAAGAUGUAGAAGACAAAAUUUAAAAUACUACAUCUUGGAACUGAAUGUGAAAUUCACUCAGUGGCUGACAGCCUGCAUGCCCAUUGCUGAAUCACAAGCAAGACAAUAGGAUGAUGCAGUGCCAUCAGGAAGGGAAGCAAAAGGCUGGGAUUCACUUCACGUGGUGGUAAGUCAGAUGAGAAUGUUGUGCAAUUGACAUUUGUAAUUACAAUGGCAAGGGAUCUUAAGCAGGAAAUGGCCCACUGGUAGAUUAGGAGGACACCGUUACAAAUCACA
This 463-nucleotide long non-coding RNA is filed under the name Anas platyrhynchos platyrhynchos (common mallard). RNAcentral describes it as "lncRNA (ENSAPLG00000022035.1)". The record is from RNAcentral. Lineage: Eukaryota; Metazoa; Chordata; Aves; Anseriformes; Anatidae.